ACGCUGGCGGCGUGCUUAACACAUGCAAGUUGAACGAUGAAGCCUAGCUUGCUAGGUGGAUUAGUGGCGAACGGGUGAGUAAUACGUGAGUAACCUACCUUUAACUCUGGGAUAAGCCUGGGAAACUGGGUCUAAUACCGGAUACGACCAAUCUCCGCAUGGAGUGUUGGUGGAAAGCGUUAUGUAGUGGUUAUAGAUGGGCUCACGGCCUAUCAGCUUGUUGGUGAGGUUACGGCUCACCAAGGCGACGACGGGUAGCCGGCCUGAGAGGGUGACCGGCCACACUGGGACUGAGACACGGCCCAGACUCCUACGGGAGGCAGCAGUGGGGAAUAUUGCACAAUGGGCGCAAGCCUGAUGCAGCGACGCCGCGUGAGGGAUGACGGCCUUCGGGUUGUAAACCUCUGUUAGCAGGGAAGAAGAGAAAUUGACGGUACCUGCAGAGAAAGCGCCGGCUAACUACGUGCCAGCAGCCACGGUAAUACGUAGGGCGCGAGCGUUGUCCGGAAUUAUUGGGCGUAAAGAGCUUGUAGGCGGUUUGUCGCGUCUGCUGUGAAAGGCCGGGGCUUAACCCCGUGUAUUGCAGUGGGUACGGGCAGACUAGAGUGCAGUAGGGGAGACUGGAACUCCUGGUGUAGCGGUGGAAUGCGCAGAUAUCAGGAAGAACACCGAUGGCGAAGGCAGGUCUCUGGGCUGUAACUGACGCUGAGAAGCGAAAGCAUGGGGAGCGAACAGGAUUAGAUACCCUGGUAGUCCAUGCCGUAAACGUUGGGCACUAGGUGUGGGGGACAUUCCACGUUUUCCGCGCCGUAGCUAACGCAUUAAGUGCCCCGCCUGGGGAGUACGGCCGCAAGGCUAAAACUCAAAGAAAUUGACGGGGGCCCGCACAAGCGGCGGAGCAUGCGGAUUA
This 910-nucleotide ribosomal RNA is filed under the name uncultured bacterium. RNAcentral describes it as "bacterial SSU rRNA". It matches the Rfam family "Bacterial small subunit ribosomal RNA", at positions 33 to 948 of the family's 1533-position model. The record is from RNAcentral.